CUCAGUACGGCGAGUGAAGCGGCAAAAGCUCAAAUUUGAAAUCUAGCACUUUCAGUGUUCGAGUUGUAAUUUGAAGAAAGUCUCCUUGAAUAGUCCUUUAUCUAUGUUCCUUGGAACAGGACGUCAUAGAGGGUGAGAACCCCGUAUGAUUUUGGAUCCUAUUCUCUGUGGGAGUCUUUCGAAGAGUCGAGUUGUUUGGGAAUGCAGCUCUAAGUGGGUGGUAAAUUCCAUCUAAAGCUAAAUAUUGGCGAGAGACCGAUAGCGAACAAGUACAGUGAUGGAAAGAUGAAAAGAACUCUGAAGAGAGAGUGAAAAAGUACGUGAAAUUGCUGAAAGGGAAGGGCUUGAGGUCAGACUUGGUGUUUAAUGAUUAUCUUCUUUUCUUAAGUUGUGCACUCGUUUUUCACUGGGCCAAUAUCAGUUUUUGUAGUAGAGCACCUCUUGAAAUGUGAUUUCCUUCGGGGAGUGUUAUAGUCUUGAGACGAUCUACUACGGGGACUGAGGACUGCGCGUUAUGCUAGGAUAUUGGCGUAAUGACCUUAAGCCGCCCGUCUUGAACAACGGACCCA
Molecule: ribosomal RNA, 569 nt
Filed under: Saccharomycopsis malanga
Lineage: Eukaryota; Fungi; Ascomycota; Saccharomycetes; Ascoideales; Saccharomycopsidaceae
Description: partial large subunit ribosomal RNA
Rfam family: Eukaryotic large subunit ribosomal RNA
Source: RNAcentral